GUACAAUUAGUUGAGAAACGUACAAUAUACACAAACAAAUACAAGAGGUAAGAGAGCCCUGCCCGUAAGCUGAUAUCUAGCCAUUGGAGCUCUUUUAUACAAAGUGCUUAGCUAGAUGGCCCUUGAGACAAAAGGUAGCAGGGGAAGUUUGGAGGUGAUGGCUGAAAGAGUUAACAGAGAAGCAGCUAUUGGUAAGAUGUUAG
Pelobates cultripes (western spadefoot toad) is the source of this 203-nucleotide non-coding RNA. NCBI's taxonomy places the organism in Eukaryota, Metazoa, Chordata, Amphibia, Anura, Pelobatidae. The record is from the annotation of a GenBank genome assembly.